AGGACUAACGCUGGCGGCGUGCCUAACACAUGCAAGUCGAACGAGGGGUAGCAAUACCCCUAGUGGCAGACGGGUGAGUAACACGUAGUCAACCUACCUCUUAAUGGGGGAUAACUAGCCGAAAGGUUAGCUAAUACCGCAUACGAUCGUCGAGUGGCAUCACACGACGAUGAAAGGAGCAAUCCGUUGAGAGAGGGGACUGCGUCCCAUUAGUUAGUUGGUGGGGUAAUGGCCUACCAAGACUCCGAUGGGUAGCUGGCUUGAGAGAGCGACCAGCCACACUGGAACUGAGACACGGUCCAGACUCCUACGGGAGGCAGCAGUGAGGAAUUUUCCGCAAUGGGCGAAAGCCUGACGGAGCGACGCCGCGUGUGGGAAGAAGGCCUUCGGGUCGUAAACCACUGUCGAAGGGGAAGAUAUUGACGGUACCCUUGGAGGAAGCCCCGGCUAACUACGUGCCAGCAGCCGC
Molecule: ribosomal RNA, 469 nt
Filed under: uncultured bacterium
Lineage: Bacteria
Description: SSU rRNA
Rfam family: Bacterial small subunit ribosomal RNA
Source: RNAcentral